UACGUAGGGUGCGAGCGUUAAUCGGAAUUACUGGGCGUAAAGCGUGCGCAGGCGGUUUUGUAAGCCAGAUGUGAAAUCCCCGGGCUCAACCUGGGAAUGGCAUUUGGGACUGCAAGGCUCGAGUGCGGCAGAGGAGACUGGAAUUCCUGGUGUAGCAGUGAAAUGCGUAGAUAUCAGGAGGAACACCGAUGGCGAAGGCAGGUCUCUGGGCUGACACUGACGCUCAUGCACGAAAGCGUGGGGAGCAAACGGG
This 253-nucleotide ribosomal RNA is filed under the name uncultured bacterium. Its description in RNAcentral is "partial 16S ribosomal RNA". It matches the Rfam family "Bacterial small subunit ribosomal RNA", at positions 524 to 776 of the family's 1533-position model. The record is from RNAcentral.